Molecule: ribosomal RNA, 1326 nt
Filed under: Indonemoura nohirae
Lineage: Eukaryota; Metazoa; Arthropoda; Insecta; Plecoptera; Nemouridae
Description: 16S ribosomal RNA
Rfam family: Bacterial large subunit ribosomal RNA (bases 859-1251)
Source: RNAcentral
UUCAUUUAUAUUUACUUUGAUUUUUAGUGAAAAAGUUUUUUUAUUUAAAUUAUUUUUAAUGAGUAUCGUUUGUGUAUAGAAUAUUGAUAAAAUUGUUUAUGUGGUAGAUUAAUUGUAUCGUAGGAGGUUGUUGAAAUAGUAUGAAAAUAUAUGAUUAAAAAAGUAAAUAAAUUGUUGUACCUUGUGUAUCAGGGUUUAUUAAAAAAAUUGUAAAUAUUUAUAUUUUCCCGAUUUGAAGAGAGCUAAAUGGUUAAUAUAGUUAAUGUAGAAUAAUUAUUAUUAAUAACUAUUUAGUAAUGAAACGUUAUUCGUUCUUUAAGAUAUCUGGUUUUUUGAGAAAUGAAUUUAAUUCAGGUUUUAUUAAGUAUAAUUUAUUUUUUUUAAUGAAUUAUUUAAUAUAACUAAUAUUUUAGGGGAUAAGCUCUAGAAUAGUAUGUAUAAUAAUUAGAAAUAUUUACAAAUUUUGUAGGCUUAGAAUUAGCCAUCUAUUAAAAGAUGUUAUAAUAUAAUUUGUAAUGAAUUUAAUUUUUAAGUGUUUAAAUUUUAUAUCAAAAUUAUUUAACUAACUAUGCGUUAAUUGUAAUAAUGAUAAAAUUAGUAUAUAAAUUGUUUAAAAAAUUAAUUAAAUGUAAGGUUACGUUAAGGAAUUAGGCAAAUUAAUGCUCGCCUGUUUAACAAAAACAUGUCUUCUUGAUGAUAAUUUGAAGUCUGACCUGCCCACUGAAUUUAUAUUUAAAGGGCCGCGGUAUUUUGACCGUGCAAAGGUAGCAUAAUCAUUAGUCUUUUAAUUGGAGGCUAGAAUGAAUGGUUGGACGAGGCAUUGACUGUCUCAGUGUGAUUGAUAAUAGAAUUUAACUUUUAAGUUAAAAGGCUUAAAUAUGUUUAAAGGACGAGAAGACCCUAUAGAGCUUUAUAUAUUUAAUUUAUUAUUUGUUUAGAAUAAUUUUUAUAAUAGAAGAAAAUAUAUUUUGUUGGGGUGACAGGAAGAUAAAUUAAACUCUUUUUAGUUUAUGUACAUUGAUUUAUGAAUUGUUGAUCCAUUAUUAUUGAUUAUAAGACUAAGUUACCUUAGGGAUAACAGCGUAAUCUUUUUCGAGAGUUCUUAUCGACAAAAAGGGUUGCGACCUCGAUGUUGGAUUAAGGGUAAUUUUGGGUGUAGAUGUUCAAAGUUUAGGUCUGUUCGACCUUUAAAUCCUUACAUGAUCUGAGUUCAGACCGGUGUAAGCCAGGUCGGUUUCUAUCCUUAAAUUUAUUAUGAUAUUUUAGUACGAAAGGACCAAGUAUUGGGAAAAUUUUUUCUUUGUUGUUGAUAAAUAUUAACAAAUU